UGGCGACACCGCGCGGAACCCGAAAGCCGUUCUCAGUUCGGAUCGGAGUCUGCAACCCGACUCCGUGAAGCUGGAUUCGCUAGUAAUCGCGCAUCAGCCAUGGCGCGGUGAAUACGUUCCCGGGCCUUGUACACACCGCCCGUCAAGCCAUGGGAGCCGGGGGUGCUUGAAGUGCGUCGCCGCAAGGCGCGCCCUAGAGCAAAACCGGUGACUGGGGCUAAGUCGUAACAAGGUAGC
RNAcentral lists this ribosomal RNA (237 nucleotides) under uncultured bacterium. RNAcentral describes it as "partial 16S ribosomal RNA". It matches the Rfam family "Bacterial small subunit ribosomal RNA", at positions 1255 to 1500 of the family's 1533-position model. The record is from RNAcentral.